CCCUUAGAUGUUCUGGGAUGCACGCGCGUUACACUGAUUCGUUCAACGAGUUUAUGACCUUGCCUGAUGAGGUGGGGGAAUCUUUUCAAAUCGCAUCGUGAUGGGGAUAGAGUAUUGUAACUGUUAGCCUUCAACGAGGAAUUCCUAGUAAGUACGUGUCAUCAGCUCGUACUGAUUAUGUCCCUGCCCUUUGUACACACCGCCCGUCGCUCCUACCGAUUGAGUGCUCAGGUGAAUAGUAUGGACUGCAUCAGUGUUCGGUCUCCGAAUGUUGACGCGAGAAAUUCUGUGAAUCUUAUUGCUUAGAGGAAGGAGAAGUCGUAACA
Molecule: ribosomal RNA, 326 nt
Filed under: uncultured eukaryote
Lineage: Eukaryota
Description: partial 18S ribosomal RNA
Rfam family: Eukaryotic small subunit ribosomal RNA
Source: RNAcentral